GAUGAACGCUGGCGGCGUGCUUAACACAUGCAAGUCGAACGGAAAGGCCCAAGCUUGCUUGGGUACUCGAGUGGCGAACGGGUGAGUAACACGUGGGUGAUCUGCCCUGCACUUCGGGAUAAGCCUGGGAAACUGGGUCUAAUACCGGAUAGGACCACUUCUUGGAUGUUGUGGUGGAAAGCUUUUUCGGUGUGGGAUGAGCUCGCGGCCUAUCAGCUUGUUGGUGGGGUAAUGGCCUACCAAGGCGUCGACGGGUAGCCGGCCUGAGAGGGUGUACGGCCACAUUGGGACUGAGAUACGGCCCAGACUCCUACGGGAGGCAGCAGUGGGGAAUAUUGCACAAUGGGCGCAGGCCUGAUGCAGCGACGCCGCGUGGGGGAUGACGGCCUUCGGGUUGUAAACUCCUUUCGCUAGGGACGAAGCGUUUUGUGACGGUACCUGGAGAAGAAGCACCGGCUAACUACGUG
RNAcentral lists this ribosomal RNA (467 nucleotides) under uncultured bacterium. Its description in RNAcentral is "partial 16S ribosomal RNA". It matches the Rfam family "Bacterial small subunit ribosomal RNA", at positions 28 to 507 of the family's 1533-position model. The record is from RNAcentral.